Molecule: ribosomal RNA, 230 nt
Filed under: uncultured bacterium
Lineage: Bacteria
Description: partial 16S ribosomal RNA
Rfam family: Bacterial small subunit ribosomal RNA
Source: RNAcentral
CGGGGUGGAGUAAUGUCUGGGAAACUGCCUGAUGGAGGGGGGUAACUGCUGGAAACGGUAGCUAAUACCGCAUAACGUCGCAAGACCGAAGAGGGGGACCUUCGGGCCUCUUGCCAUCGGAUGUGCCCAGAUGGGAUUAGCUAGUAGGUGGGGUAACGGCUCACCUAGGCGACGAUCCCUAGCUGGUCUGAGAGGAUGACCAGCCACACUGGAACUGAGACACGGUCCAG